AGCACGAGGUGGCUCCCGGCCGCAGGCUGAGCGCAGAGCCGGGCAGACCUCCCUGAACGCGGGCGGGGAUCAAUCUGGGAAAGUUCUCUAGGUGAAUUGCGUCCUGGCAAGGAUGAGAAACCGGAACCAGAAUGACUCUGAAAGAGUGACUCUCCACUUAAAUGAACCUGUGCGUUUCUGUUGCCUUGGGGCACAAGUGUCCAUAUGUGUGUGUGCCCCCCAACCCCCAUCCCCGGCCCCGGCUGAUCUUACCAAUUAGGUUGCAGGAAGGGUUGCUUCUGUCUAAAAAUGGCCAAGGAUCAGCAUUUCUUUGGAGUCGUUUCCACACCUUGUAGCAGUUUUCAGUCAACCACGGUCGUUUUGGAGGGUGUCACUAGGCAUCCAGGCAGCUGGCUAAACCUCCAAUGAGUUUAAUUGAUAGAAAUGCUUUUUAUUGCAUUGCCUACUUCCCUUCUGGUUUUAAGUUUGAACGUGUAGGAUUGUACAGACUGUCCUAUGGGAGUUAACAUAAUCCACAAAAACAACAAUAAGCAUUUCUGGUGUUUUGUGUGGGUAUCAUUUGUGUCAAUAAUCAUUAAACCCAAUGGCAGCAAAAUAGAACUUUGGAGGGGAGGUGCCAAGGUGGCAGGUCACAGAUGAUGUCACAAUCCAGAAGUUUAAGUUAACCUCUCCUGCAAUUAACCACAGGUUAGACUUCAUUGUGGGGAGCGCACUUGUUUUCAAGUUACAGAAAGGUAGGAACCCAGAAAAGAGCAUCAACAAAUAAAUUUGUUUUCCUUGGGUUUAUUUUUCCUUUGCAAUGAGGAGUUCCUUUUUACUUUUACAAAACCUAGGCAUUUUGCCCAGAAGGCAAUAGAAAUGGAUUGGCUUGCUAGCAUGCUGACCAAGUAAAUAGAAAUUUGAACUAACAUUUUUUCCCCCCCAGACAACCACAGAUGUAAUUCAGAAGUUUAGUGUCUUGAUCCGUGGGUGCAGAGAGGGUCAAGAUUCUAUGUAGGUGAAUCUGGGUGAACAACCCACCUACCUCCUACUUCAUAAUUCAAAUAUUUUUACAUUAUGGAGAUAUAUACCUAAUAUAAGUAUACCUAUAUACUUAAACCUAAGUAAAGACCUGAGGAAAACGACGCUGUAGGAUUUUUGAACUGUGUACAUGGGUGAAGUUUUAAGAGCCCCAAAGCCCUCAGCCCUGGGUGUACCGUUGCAGGAUAUGAUUGCUAUAGAUUCUACAUAGACCUCUGUGCCGAAAACUGUUAAAUGGAGAACUAGGAACAUGUGGUCCUUUGUGCUUCAGUUGCCUAUUCUGUCAUGCCAUUUACAGAAAAAUAAAACUGGGAGUGCUGAAACACUCCCAUAAUUCUCGCUUUUGGGAGCCAGAGUCAGGAGCAUCGGGAGUUCAAGACUGCUCUCCUCCAUAUAGGGACCUCAGGUCAAUCUGAGCUACAUAAGACCCUGCCUGACUCCAAAACUCUCAAACAAACAAAAGACAAACAGGUAAGAGCGAGUUUCUGAAGGAGCUCGGUGUAGUUUUUCUGUGAUGUUCACUGACUUUUAAAACAGCAGAUUCUGGGGUUGGAGAGAGUACUGGCUGCUCUUCCAGGGGAAGGGGUGGGUUUCAAUUCCCAGCACUCAUGGGGCAGCUUACAACUGUCUAUCACUCUUGUCCCAAGGGAUCCAAUGCCCUCUUCUGGCUUCUAUGGGCCCUGCAUACACAGGAUGCACGAAAACACCUAUAGCAUAAAAAUAAAAAUGUAAAAAGAAAGCAAAUUAUUUAUCUAAAUGCCCUUGUUUUAACAGUUUCUUUUCACUGAAAGAGGUUUCUUCUUUCUUUCUUUCUUUCUUUCUUUCUUUCUUUCUUUCUUUCUUUCUUUCUUUCUAACCUACUAAAGUUUACUAAAUCCAUGGUUCAUCAUCUUUUAAAAUGCUGUUUGUUUGGGCUGAACAGAUGGCUCAGCGGUUAAGAGCACUGGCUGCUUUUACAGAAGACCCAGGUUCAAUUUCUAGCACCUGUAUGGCGACUCAACAACCAUCUGUGACUCCAGUUUAGGGGACCCGACACCCCUUUUCUGGCUUGCACAGGCACCAGGCAAAGCACCUACACACAUAAAUCUUUAAAGGAUAAAUGAUGUUGGUGACCUUUCUAAAGGAGAGAACGGCGAUGGAAAUGAAGCUCAGUGACAAUGUCCAGCUAGGUUGUGAGUUGGAUCCCAACUAAGGAAGACAAAUGACUACAUUGGCUUCUCUGAAAGGGUGGUGGUAGGCCUGGGUGUGGUGCUACAGAGCUGUAAUCUGAGCCCUGUGUGGGAUUGUUAGGAUCAAGCAGUCAGAGUCAGCCUGGGCUACAUAGUGAGACCUAUCUGGAGAGGGGUUGAGAAGAGAGGACAGCUCGUAGGUAAACAGGUUCCUGUCAGUUCCUUUUUGAAGCAAGAGCACACCGUAAAUCAGCUCUUAACAAAUAUUUCUUUGGUUUGAUAAAACAAACUGAUUAACGCAGGGAAAAAUAGUAGUUUUCUCCUCGUUUAUUUAAUCUUCUGCUUUCAACAUACCCAGAGUCAGGUAUUUAACCAGUGAAAUUUUAUCGAAUUUCCACUUGGUGCCCAUGGUUGUUUAUCUAAGGAUCGUCCUAUGUACUUUCUCAGCAUGUCUAAGCAAUAGAAAAGGCAGUUUCUCUUUCCUCUCUCCCUCCCUCCUUCCUCCCUCCCUCCCUUCCUUCCUCCCUCCCUUCCUUCCUCCCUCCCUCCUUUCUUUCUUUCCUUACCUUUCUUCUCUCUCUCUCUCUCUCUCUUUCUCAUUAUUUGGGAAUGUUUAUCAAAUUGUCUUUUGUAACUUACCUAAUGCCCCCUAUUCUGCCUGGCAUAUAAUUGUUAAAGAGAUAAAGUAAUGAGGAACCACAAGGAACAAAGGAGAAGAGAAUUCUGCUAUGGAACAUUACAUAACCAGCGGGGGUGGGGAGGAAUAAUAUAGGUCUACCUUAUGCAUUCUUCUGAGGGGGAUAAACAGUGAGGACACCUUAGAAAGCAGUCUCAGGUUCAAACAAAACAAAACAAAAACAAAAACUAAAGGGCUGUGGGGAUAGCUCAGUGAACAAAGGUGCUUGCUGCUCAUCCUGAUAACCGGAGGUCAUAUCCUGAGAUCCACAUCGUGGAAGUAGAGAGUUGUCCUCUGACCGCCACAUGUUCCCUGUGGCCAGUUCCACAAAGGAACCUUUGGUGGAGCGGUGCCUUAAGGGAGGAGGAGGAGGAGGAGGAGCAGACCAUAAAAAUGAAAGCAGAGAGGGAGACUGCUGGGGAGUAAAAGGUUUAGGCAGGGAGAGGAGUGUGGGGAUGGGAGCUGGAUAAGGAGGUCAAGAGAAGCAUAACACAAAUAAAGGCUGUGUGGAAAAGCCCCACGGAAAUCUGUUGUCUUGUAACUCAAUUAAAAAGCAUAGUGUUUUUUUUUUUUUCAGGGGAGGGGGUUAAAUAAUCAGAAGGGAGAUACUCUGAGUGGUUGGGUAAUGCUGCCCCCAGAAGCUGAGAGUUACUUAAAAACAAAAAAGAUCUCACUAGCAGGAGAGACACCUUCAUAUGAUUUGAUACUCAGGGAGGCUCCAGAGGCCCCCAAGACAGCAUAGGCUCUUGCCAAGAACUAGGUGACAAGGCUCUAUAGCUAAAGAUACUACACACCUCAGUUGCAAAUAGAGUAAUCACUCUAGAAUGAAAUGAACCCUUCCUCCCUGGUGGGAUGUUUUACGGUGCCAGAAGGGACUGUGCAGGCUGCAGGAGGAAAAGGGGCAUCAUUGGUCUGACUUAGCUGUGAACCCUGGGCACAUCAAAACUAACCUGCCAGGCGAGGUGUGUAAUGGUGGCACGGCUACCAUGGGGUAACCAAAUGCUCUCUGAUUGGGUUUGAGACCCUCAGGAGGGAACCGGUGCUUGGUAUGUUAAACCCAUCAAAACCACAUAUCAUUAGACCUAAGGGGGAACUCACUGUUUUGUUGCAUUGAGUUUACACAGUGUUAACUGACUUCUAAAUAUCUGCGUUUAUACCUUUAAACAAAUGAUUCCCUCAGCCUUAACCCUGGAAGCAUUUCUUGGCAAUGAACCGUGGCGAAUACAGAGACUCAUGGCUGCUCACAAAACACAGCGCAGGGGGAAGACGACACCCAGAGCACCACCCACAGUCAUGCCAGGCACGGUGCAGGCCAGGGAAGACACUCAGAACCUUGCCUGCAUCCAUGCCAUGUGACUCUGGAAGGUGGUGGAGACACCACCACCACCACCACCACCACCACCCUUGCCUGAUACCCUGUCAUGCUGAGCAGGGUAUAAAGAGUCCGAUUGCUGGCAAUAAACUUGUCACAGCGGUGACCCCCUCCAACCGGUGCCUGGUUAAGACUCAUUUCUCACAAGCCAUAUCAAGUAACCUUGGCCUGUAGAGUCAGCUGACUGAGCAAUCAAAAGAAAAACUCAGAACGCCACCUAAGAGUGCAACUGAAGACUCGGAGAAGACUUACAACCUCAGACACCUCCCAUUUCAAGUUCAAUCUGUGUAUCAUCCGCCUGUCCUUGAGAUCUGAUCGCAUUAGCAGCCUGUUGGUGAGCUAAAAUAAAAGAAGCAAAAAGGCGGUGCACUACCUUCCAUUGGCAUUCGCACGCUGUUGUCUCUUCUUGGCUGGAGAGGACAGGAAGGGCAGAAUGAGAGUCUCACAGCUUUGCCUCAGUCCCUGUACAAGGUGGCAGCGUCCGAUUGACAGAGCCAUGAAGACAGCAAGGAACACAAAUGGGUUUGCAAGGAAAUGGACAGAAAAUGUCGAUCAAUCAGAUGUAGGGAUGGAGCCAGCAGGACUCCUCUUUUUGUCUGAGUAAUUAGAAGAGAUUGGCGCAAGGCAGAGGAUGUUGGAGUAGCAGAAGGCUGUGAGGUGGGGGCAGAUGAUGUGUUUGACAUGUGACGUAUGUAAGUGGAGAUGUCACACGAGAGAUUGACAUUUUUCGGGCAUGAGGUAAGAGAGGCCCACGGCAGAGGAGGCUAAAUACAUAUCCACAGAGAGACGAAAACCGGAAGCUGUGUCAGGUAACCGGGGAAAAGCCUCGUUCUGAGGAAGACGCUCCUGAGGGAAUGAGUAGAAUCAAGAGAGACAAACAAAGAUGCUCCUCAGAUUUGGUGACAUCGAGGUCUUGGCUGAGCUGUAGUUGGGGGUAGAGUCCUGAUUCAGUGUUCAGGCUCCUGAGGGCUGAUCAGUAAGGAAUGCAAACACAUUCCUAAGAUAAAUUUAUACAAUUUGGGCUGACGUAAAAUGAGGCGUGACUGCUAAUGACCACUGGGCUUUGGGAAUGACAAAAAUGUUCUGAAUUUGAUGGACAGGGGCUCAGUUGGGAGAACACUUGCCUGGUCACAUUCAUAAGGCCCUGGGUUUGAUUCCCAGGGUUUCCAUGGCAGUAAAGAGAAGCCAUGACCAAAGCCACUCUGGCUUAGGUUCAGUUCAUUAUCAUUGUGGCAGGAAGCAUGGCAGUGUCCAGGCAGGCAUGGCGCUGGAG
Mus musculus (house mouse) is the source of this 5510-nucleotide long non-coding RNA. RefSeq annotates it as predicted gene, 36753. Lineage: Eukaryota; Metazoa; Chordata; Mammalia; Rodentia; Muridae. The record is from RefSeq and is a predicted model, not a curated record. The transcript is spliced from 5 exons.